Molecule: transfer RNA, 70 nt
Filed under: Aspergillus viridinutans
Lineage: Eukaryota; Fungi; Ascomycota; Eurotiomycetes; Eurotiales; Aspergillaceae
Rfam family: tRNA
About the family: Transfer RNA (tRNA) molecules are approximately 80 nucleotides in length. Their secondary structure includes four short double-helical elements and three loops (D, anti-codon, and T loops). Further hydrogen bonds mediate the characteristic L-shaped molecular structure. tRNAs have two regions of fundamental functional importance: the anti-codon, which is responsible for specific mRNA codon recognition, and the 3' end, to which the tRNAs corresponding amino acid is attached (by aminoacyl-tRNA synthetases). tRNAs cope with the degeneracy of the genetic code in two manners: having more than one tRNA (with a specific anti-codon) for a particular amino acid; and 'wobble' base-pairing, i.e. permitting non-standard base-pairing at the 3rd anti-codon position.
Source: Rfam by way of RNAcentral
UCCGAUAUGGUGUAGUGGCUAACAUCGCCGUCUCUCACACGGCAGCCGGGGGUUCGAUUCCCUAUCGGAG